GACAAUAUAAGCAAGCAAACAAGUACUCUAGCUAUCAAUUUACUUUGGACUACUAUAUGAUAAAUAUUUCAACCCCCCUCCUCCCCCACCAAAAAAAAAUUAAAAUAACAAGUUGAAGGACUCAAAAAAAAAAAAAAAAAAACUCAAAACCAACCUCAAUCAUACAUUCAUAUCCUCUUCCUACCCCCAUCUUGGAUGAGAUAAGAUUAACGAGGUGCUUACACGUGUCACCUCUAUUGUGGUGACUUAAAAAAAAUUCCAACCUUUCAUAUGUAGAUAUUAAGUAAUUGUAUAAUGUUAUCAAGAACCACAUAACAUAUCAAAAACCUUAUCAUUUCAUUAUAUAAAAGGAUAGUGGACAUCAAAAGGUUCAUAUUGAACCAAAAAAAGAGAGAAGAAGCAAUAUGGCUUCCUCUGUCAUUUCUUCAGCAGCUGUUGCCACACGCAGCAAUGUUACACAAGCUAGCAUGGUUGCACCUUUCACUGGUCUCAAAUCUUCAGCCACUUUCCCUGUUACAAAGAAGCAAAACCUUGACAUCACUUCCAUUGCUAGCAAUGGUGGAAGAGUUAGCUGCAUGCAGGUAACUCACUCAUCGGUUUUCCGAAAUUGAUAUUUUCUUAGUAUGUUGUAACAUGUAAUCUGUCUUAUUUCUCGAUUCAAUUAUCUAAGGGUUAUAUGUAUGUUAGCUACUCUCUCUGGCUUAAUUUAUGUGACGGUAGUACUAUUUUAUUUUAGUUAGUAUAAAAAAGAGUGAUUUACUUUGUUUCAGUUUGUUUGUUUAAUCUUAAUUUAACAUAACUUUUAAGAAAAUUAAAAAGUCUUUUGAAUUUGUAGUUUUAAAUUAAAGUUACGUAGAAUGUAUUAAAAUAUCCUACAUUUUGUGAUUUCAAACAUGUUAACUGUCACGUGAAAAAUUAGAAUUAGAUAAUUAUCAAAAAAAAAAAAAGAGACUUUAGAAGAGUAAUAUAAACAAAUUGAAACAUGAGUAUAUGUAGUUACUGACCUCUGAUCUAGUUUAUGCCAUUAUUAUUUUUCUUUUUAAGUCUGUUUUAAAAGAAUGACAUAUUUUUAUAUUUAAUAGCAGUAUUGAUUUAAGUUUGAAAAAAAUUUCUAUUUUAUCUUUAAUGAGAUGAUUUAUAAUUACAUAAGUAUUUAUAUUAUCUUAGACCAUAAACUACGAAAAUCUCUGUUUAUUCUUAAAAUUCCAUUUACCAUUAAGUACCUCCACAUAAGAAUUAAAAAAAGAGAGUAUCUUUCAAAUUAUCUGAUAAUUCAUAGAAGUUAAAAGAUCCAAUUGCUUAACUUAUCUUUGAUUAUAUUAAACACAUGAAAAGUGUAUCCUACGUAUAAUCUCUACGUUCAAAAUUAAAGACAAAUUUAAGAUCUAGAAUUGAUGAACUCAAAAUAUCUCUAUCUUAUUAUUAUUAUGUAUAUAUACAACUUAAUUUUUCGAAAUGUUGAUGAAUGUAUGUUAAAUCCUUUACAAUAGUGCAUUUUUAGAUAAUUCGAUAAGAGUGUAACAAUAUUUUCAGAAAGUCGAUAACUUUUUUUUCUUUUUUUUUUUUGGAUAUGUGUAUAGGUGUGGCCACCAAUUAACAUGAAGAAGUACGAGACACUCUCAUACCUUCCUGAUUUGUCUGACGAGCAAUUGCUUAGUGAAAUUGAGUACCUUUUGAAAAAUGGAUGGGUUCCUUGCUUGGAAUUUGAGACUGAGGUCAAUAUCAUAUUUACUUUUGUUUUAUCGAAAAAUGAUAUAUUUUUAUAUUUAGAUACGAUUUAUAUUUAACACUUCAAUGUUUUUUUUAUGUGUAGCACGGAUUUGUCUACCGUGAGAACAACAAGUCACCAGGAUACUAUGAUGGAAGGUCAGUAGCGGAUUCAUAAGUUAAAGAAUUCAUUCAUACUUUUUUUUAGUUAAAUCGUAGGUAUAGGUACGAGAAUCAUGAAAAUUAAUAUAAAUAUCAUGUUUCGAACUCGUUUAUUAAAAAAAAAAAACUCAUAAAACAUACUAUGAACAUCACUAGUCUGUAUAAAAAGGGAAAAAAAAGAAGAUAAAUAUACCCUUAGAAUAUCAUAAGUGGUAUGCAGAUAUCUUCGGUCAUAGUUUUGGGACAUUGGUACUUCUGCCGUCCAAAAACUAGAACGUUGAUAUAUAUGUUGUAGUUUUUGGACCGCAGAAGCAUCAAUGUCCCAAAAAUAUGAUGAAAAAUAUCUGUAUACUAUUUACGAUAGUUCGGAUAUAUUUGUCCCUUUUUUCUAAGUUUUUAUAAAGUUAAAAAGUUAAAAUUUUGAAUCCGCAGGUACUGGACCAUGUGGAAGUUGCCUAUGUUUGGGUGCACUGAUGCAACCCAAGUGUUGGCUGAGGUUCAAGAGGCUAAAAAGGCAUACCCACAAGCAUGGGUCAGAAUCAUUGGAUUCGACAAUGUGCGUCAAGUGCAGUGUAUCAGUUUCAUUGCCUACAAGCCAGAAGGCUACUAAGUUUCAUAUUAGGAACAAAAUUGUCUUUAGGGACACUUUGUUUUUAAAUGCUACUUAGGUCUUUUUUCUUUUUUGUCUUAAUUCCAACAAACUCUUUGUGUCUUGUACUAUUCGGUUUAUGUUUUGGAUUUAUGAGUACCUAAUUAUAUGAUAAUGAUUUGGUGCUUUGUUUGUAAAUUUUGAUUCUUGUGGUUUAUAU
This 2678-nucleotide long non-coding RNA is filed under the name Solanum lycopersicum (tomato). Its description in RNAcentral is "long non-coding RNA (SLYC_LNC001277)". The record is from RNAcentral. Lineage: Eukaryota; Viridiplantae; Streptophyta; Magnoliopsida; Solanales; Solanaceae.